RNAcentral lists this ribosomal RNA (484 nucleotides) under uncultured bacterium. Its description in RNAcentral is "partial 16S ribosomal RNA". It matches the Rfam family "Bacterial small subunit ribosomal RNA", at positions 30 to 507 of the family's 1533-position model. The record is from RNAcentral.
AUUGAACGCUGGCGGCAGGCCUAACACAUGCAAGUCGAGCGGAUGAAGGGAGCUUGCUCCUGGAUUCAGCGGCGGACGGGUGAGUAAUGCCUAGGAAUCUGCCUGGUAGUGGGGGAUAACGUCCGGAAACGGGCGCUAAUACCGCAUACGUCCUGAGGGAGAAAGUGGGGGAUCUUCGGAUCUCACGCUAUCAGAUGAGCCUAGGUCGGAUUAGCUAGUUGGUGGGGUAAAGGCCUACCAAGGCGACGAUCCGUAACUGGUCUGAGAGGAUGAUCAGUCACACUGGAACUGAGACACGGUCCAGACUCCUACGGGAGGCAGCAGUGGGGAAUAUUGGACAAUGGGCGAAAGCCUGAUCCAGCCAUGCCGCGUGUGUGAAGAAGGUCUUCGGAUUGUAAAGCACUUUAAGUUGGGAGGAAGAGCAGUAGGUUAAUACCUUGCUGUUUUGACGUUACCAACAGAAUAAGCACCGGCUAACUUCGUG